Molecule: ribosomal RNA, 427 nt
Filed under: uncultured Aquabacterium sp.
Lineage: Bacteria; Pseudomonadati; Pseudomonadota; Betaproteobacteria; Burkholderiales; Sphaerotilaceae
Also listed under: 1 other name
Description: bacterial SSU rRNA
Rfam family: Bacterial small subunit ribosomal RNA
Source: RNAcentral
UGGGGAAUUUUGGACAAUGGGCGCAAGCCUGAUCCAGCAAUGCCGCGUGCAGGAAGAAGGCCUUCGGGUUGUAAACUGCUUUUGUCAGGGAAGAAAUCCUUUGGGCUAAUACCUCGGAGGGAUGACGGUACCUGAAGAAUAAGCACCGGCUAACUACGUGCCAGCAGCCGCGGUAAUACGUAGGGUGCGAGCGUUAAUCGGAAUUACUGGGCGUAAAGCGUGCGCAGGCGGCUUUGCAAGACAGAGGUGAAAUCCCCGGGCUCAACCUGGGAACUGCCUUUGUGACUGCAAGGCUAGAGUACGGCAGAGGGGGAUGGAAUUCCGCGUGUAGCAGUGAAAUGCGUAGAUAUGCGGAGGAACACCGAUGGCGAAGGCAAUCCCCUGGGCCUGUACUGACGCUCAUGCACGAAAGCGUGGGGAGCAAACA